AGGGAUUUCUAGGUGGAGAUAUGACUGCUUUGUUUUUGUGGAAUGAUCAUGAUGGGCCUGGCUGACUUCAAGAUGAAGGUUGGCUUCAGGACAUUUGUUGACUACUGUAGACAGCAUGGAAAAGUUCAACAUCAUAGAAUCUAAAGACCUGUGUGGACCUGGCCAAGCUGACCAAGUCCAGAGAAAAUGUCCCUUGAAGUAGGUAUAUUUUGAUGGCCACACCAUUGAAACAUAAGUUACUCUGAUGACAGAAAGAAGAUACCACUCAUCUUUAUGAUUUCAUCUUGCCUAUGCUAUGGACUGAAUGGUUCAUUUGAUAAUAAGAUGAAGAAUAGAGCUUUGUCAACUAUAAAGCACCAUGAAAAAUUGAGAAUUAAUAUUUCUACCUUAUGCAUAUAUUCAAGAUGAUCCCUUACUUGGAGAUAAUGGCUCAGAGAGAUUAUUUAAAGAGAAAACCGGAAAUAUUUUGACAUUUUUUAUGUGUUGGGGAUGACAGGAAGCCAAAGAUGUUACAUUUUCAAGGUUAGUGAAUGUGAUUGUGAUGUAGUGAUGGUGUCAUACAUUGAAAAAAGGAUCAUAGGAAAAGAUGUUUUAUUUUGAAAUUGAGAUACAAUUCAUGUAACAAAAUUCAUCCUUUUAAACUACAAAAUUCAGUGGUUUUUGAUAUAUUCACAGAGUUGUGUAACCAUCACCCUAUCUACUUUAGAAUGUUUUCAUUACCCCAAAAGAAACUUCAUACCCAUUAGAGAUUAUUUCCCAUCUCCUUCUAUCCCAUUCCCUGGCAACCAUUAAUCUAUUUCUGUCUUGAUGGAUUUGAAUAUUCUGGAAAUUUCAUAUAAAUGGACCUUAUAAUUUCUGUCUGCUUCUUUCAUUUAGCAUCACCUUUUCAAAGUUCAUCUAUAUUAUACCAUGUGUCAGUAUUUCAUUCACUUUUAUGGCUGAGUAAUA
RNAcentral lists this long non-coding RNA (948 nucleotides) under Vulpes vulpes (red fox). Its description in RNAcentral is "lncRNA (ENSVVUG00000026486.1)". The record is from RNAcentral. Lineage: Eukaryota; Metazoa; Chordata; Mammalia; Carnivora; Canidae.